GCCGAGGUGGCGGAAUUGGCAGACGCGCUAGCUUGAGGGGCUAGUGAUCGCAAGAUCGUAUGGGUUCAAGUCCCAUCCUCGGCA
This 84-nucleotide transfer RNA is filed under the name Planctomycetota bacterium. Its description in RNAcentral is "tRNA-Leu". It matches the Rfam family "tRNA". Rfam says of the family: Transfer RNA (tRNA) molecules are approximately 80 nucleotides in length. Their secondary structure includes four short double-helical elements and three loops (D, anti-codon, and T loops). The record is from RNAcentral. Lineage: Bacteria; Pseudomonadati; Planctomycetota.